Molecule: long non-coding RNA, 1457 nt
Organism: Gossypium raimondii (Peruvian cotton)
Lineage: Eukaryota; Viridiplantae; Streptophyta; Magnoliopsida; Malvales; Malvaceae
Exons: 5
Source: RefSeq, a predicted model, not a curated record
CCCUAAUUUUCCCCCUAAAAAUAAUCACCUCAGCACACUAUUACUCCCUCAGCUCUGCGCGAAAUCCUAAAGCAAUGCCUCCCAAAGUAGCUAAAUCCCUAGAAACAACGAACUCACCUUCAACCUUCUUCUUCAAACUAGGUCCCCCUCUCUCUCUUGCUCUCUCUUUGCUUUUUUGCCUGAUUUUUUUGUUUUUUUCUUAGAUGAGUCCCUGGACGGUUGGAGUCUUAUUGUUUCAACGAGGCAAGUGGGUGUUCCAGAUCCGUCAUUGAAGCUGGAAAUACAUAUUUCCAGGAUUUUAGGCAGUUUUUCUUGGUUGUUUUAUGGGCUUAAAUCGAAGCCGUUUAAGAUCUUCUGCUCCGUUUCACUCCAAGCCUUUGUUUCGUAGACAUCUUCAAUCCAUGAAGAUGCUGAUUUAAUUAUGUUGGCCUUGGCCACUCAUGAAGUUCACUUUUCAAUCCUUCGAGAGAUUGUCUUCACCCCUGGGCAAGAUAAAUGCUUCAUAUGCGGUCAGAUGGACCAUAUAGCAGCAAAUUGUGAAGGAAAUGCAAAGAGGAAGGAAUGAGAAUUUGAUGAGAAAGCUGAUGGAAAAGCUGUGGCCAGAAAGCCAUAUCAAGUUACUUUGCAAAUGAAUUUACAGUUGGAAUUAUUAUAAUGAAUUCUUUGGAAAAAUUAGAACUUGUUAUUUGCUUCAUCUUUGCAGUUCUUGAACAUAUGGACCCUUAGGGAGUAUCUGGAAUAUGAGAUGAGAAUCCCCAAUCCUCCUUUUGAAAAUGACUUGGAAGACUUGGAAUGCAUUGUGGAUGAUUUUAUAUUCAUAUGCUUCUUUAUUGGCAAUGAUUUCUUACCUCAUAUGCCUACACUCGAGAUUCGUGAGGAUGCAAUCAACUUGUUAAUGGCAGUAUACAAGAAGGAAUUUAGAUCAUUUGGUGGUUAUUUGACUGAUGGAAGCAAUGUGCCUAUUGAUCUUAUGCGUGAUGGCCACUUAUUAUUCCAGUCAUCAAAUUUCAUCUAGUAAACUAAAGCUUUUGACUGUAUGAUUUUUAUUUCAGCCUAAUUUGAGCAGGGUAGAGCAUUUUAUCCAAGCUGUGGGGUCCUAUGAAGAUAAAAUAUUCAACAAAAGAGCACAGUUGCAUCAGACUUUCAGCAGCAUGAUCCCAAAAUUGUCAAACAAAUUAGUCAAAUGCAGGUGAAUCACCUUGGACUAAAUUUGACCAAAGAUGAUCUGCAAAACGUGGUUGAUUUAAUGGAGCGAUAUGGUCAGAUAAGCAAUGGAAUAGAAUAUCUAAAUCCUCCCCUUGAUAUCAGUAACUAACUUGCUUGUCAUUUUAAAUAAGCAAGUCAAUUGCUAUUAAUAAUUUUCUGUUGGAUUCUUUUUGGACUGAAAAAUAAUUUCUGGGGAUAGUCUAAGAAUCUUAAAUUUUAUAGAAAGCCAAUAAAGUGCUUGCUGGAUGAAA